AAAAGGCGGCGUAAGCUGUCGCUAAAGGAUGGACCCGCGGUGCAUUAGCUAGUUGGUAAGGUAACGGCUUACCAAGGCGACGAUGCAUAGCCGAGUUGAGAGACUGAUCGGCCACAUUGGGACUGAGACACGGCCCAAACUCCUACGGGAGGCAGCAGUAGGGAAUCUUCCACAAUGGGCGAAAGCCUGAUGGAGCAACGCCGCGUGAGUGAAGAAGGUUUUCGGAUCGUAAAGCUCUGUUGUUGGUGAAGAAGGAUAGAGGUAGUAACUGGCCCCUAUUUGACGGUAAUCAACCAGAAAGUCACGGCUAACUACGUGCCAGCAGCCGCGGUAAUACGUAGGUGGCAAGCGUUGUCCGGAUUUAUUGGGCGUAAAGCGAGCGCAGGCGGAAAGAUAAGUCUGAUGUGAAAGCCCCCGGCUUAACCGAGGAAUUGCAUCGGAAACUGUGUUUCUUGAGUGCAGAAGAGGAGAGUGGGACUCCAUGUGUAGCGGUGGAAUGCGUAGAUAUAUGGAAGAACACCAGUGGCGAAGGCGGCUCUCUGGUCUGUAACUGACGCUGAGGCUCGAAAGCAUGGGUAGCGAACAGGAUUAGAUACCCUGGUAGUCCAUGCCGUAAACGAUGAGUGCUAAGUGUUGGGAGGUUUCCGCCUCUCA
Molecule: ribosomal RNA, 654 nt
Filed under: uncultured bacterium
Lineage: Bacteria
Description: bacterial SSU rRNA
Rfam family: Bacterial small subunit ribosomal RNA
Source: RNAcentral